Molecule: RNA transcript, 1546 nt
Organism: Physeter macrocephalus (sperm whale)
Lineage: Eukaryota; Metazoa; Chordata; Mammalia; Artiodactyla; Physeteridae
Gene: C4H1orf53
Gene name: chromosome 4 C1orf53 homolog
Exons: 3
Source: RefSeq, a predicted model, not a curated record
CCUAGAAUGAAAGUCCAGAGACUGGAAAAGGCACGUUUUUCCCGUCCCCGCAUCUUGUGGGAGCCUCCUCAGCUGUCUAAAGUCCACUUUAUCUGCCGGGCAGGGCCGGUGGUGCUGCGGAAGGGCUGGGUCCGGGUCCGGAGGGAGAGGGCGGGGUCGGGGGUCUGGGCUCGGAGGGCCAGGUCCAGGACCAGAGGGCGGGAUCCGGGGUCAGGGGUCAAGGUCCGGAGCCGGAGAGCCGGGGCUGGGUCGGGGUCCAGGUCCGAGGGCAGGGAUCGGAGGGCGGGGUCCGGGUCGGGGGUCGGAAGAUGGGAUCCAGGUCCAGAGGGAGGGGUCGGGGGUCGGAGGGCGGGAUCCGAGUCCGGAGGCUGGGGCCCUGGGUCCAAGAGGGAGUCAGAGUCCGGAGGAUCGAGGUCAAGAGGUGGGGGUCGGGGUCCAGGACCGGAGGGCGGGUCUGGGGUCGAGGGUCGGAGGGCGGGGUCCGGGGUGGCGGGUCUGGGACCGGCCUGGCUCGGCGGGAGCAGUACGGGCCGCCCCGUGGCCCCAGCGCCCCGCCUCCCACAGGCGGCAGCCAUGGCGGCCUGGCGGGUCCCGGCGUCCGCGGGCUCUGCGCACGGAAGGCAGCCGUCCGCCGCCCCGCCGCCAGAACCGCCCCGAGUUGGAGAAAGGUUCCGACGGCUCCUCACCUUCACCCUCUUCUCCGCUUCGCAGGGAGACCGCGGCAGCUCUGGGCCCGACUCGCAGAGCAGGCCGGAGGGAGCAGCGAGUCGUCCGGCGAGCAAAGAGUUAACAGCGGCGGAGCGGAGGAUCUCGGAGUUUCACGCCGCCGCCUGCGCAGUGAAGCCCCGCCCCGUUCCGUCCCUCACGGGCUCCCGGUUGCUCCGCCCCUCCCCUCCCCGCCCGGACCGCAGCCCCAGGGACCAUGCGCUUGCGCAGUGAGGCCCCUCCUCCCCAGACACCUCGCCCCGCCCCCCGCGGGAGCCCCGCCCCAGAAGCCCCGCCUCCCGAAGCCCCGCCCUCCCCGGCCGUCCGGUGAUAGGUGCGCCUGCGCGUCCCGGGGCUGGAGAGGGAUUGCCGGAGGUCGGCGCAGUCCUACCUCGGGCGUCUGACGGCGUGCAAGCUUACCGCUCAGAACUUUUCGCUUGAAAACUGGCCACAGUUUCCUAUUCCGGGCAAAGAGUUAACGUGGAUCAAUCGCUGGCCGGCUGAAGUACGUGGACCUAGCUGCCGGCUACAUGGUGCUCACCCGGCUGGCCCACUUGCAGACAGGCAGAUGCUGCGUCUCUACCUGCAGACAUUGUCCAUAUGGUCAAGUCAAUGUUAAAGAUCCAUCCAAAAAGAAGCAAUUCAAUUCACAUUUUUAUGUUUGAGACGAAUUUCAUUUCUGUUCUCCAUCUAAUUGAGCCUUACUAAAAAAAUAAAUAAAACCUUAAUCCAGAAUUGCUUUCUGUGCUGUUAGUACUUGAGCACUAGUUUAAUCUUAAACUUAAGCAUAUAUUAAUCUUAAUCUUAAACAUGUAUUAAAAGAACAUCAAUAAAAUGAAAA